GGGCUGCAGUGAGGAAUUUUGCGCAAUGGGGGAAACCCUGACGCAGCGACGCCGCGUGGGUGAUGAAGGCUUUCGAGUCGUAAAGCCCUGUCAAGUGGGAAGAACCGUUAAUGUGCUAAUACCAUGUUAACUUGACGGUACCACUAAAGGAAGCACCGGCUAACUCCGUGCCAGCAGCCGCGGUAAUACGGAGGGUGCAAGCGUUGUUCGGAAUUACUGGGCGUAAAGGGCGCGUAGGCGGCACUGUAAGUCGGAUGUGAAAGUCCAGGGCUUAACCCUGGAAGUGCAUCUGAUACUGCAGAGCUUGAGUAUCGGAGGGGAAAGUAGAAUUCCCGGUGUAGAGGUGAAAUUCGUAGAUAUCGGGAGGAAUACCGGUGGCGAAGGCGACUUUCUGGACGAAUACUGACGCUGAGGCGCGAAAGCGUGGGGAGCAAACAGGAUUAGAUACCCCGGUAGUC
This 458-nucleotide ribosomal RNA is filed under the name uncultured Desulfobulbaceae bacterium. Its description in RNAcentral is "bacterial SSU rRNA". It matches the Rfam family "Bacterial small subunit ribosomal RNA", at positions 346 to 795 of the family's 1533-position model. Lineage: Bacteria; Pseudomonadati; Thermodesulfobacteriota; Desulfobulbia; Desulfobulbales; Desulfobulbaceae. The record is from RNAcentral.